GGGUGGUGUUGGUUAGAUUAUUCCAGUUUGAGUCUGGGGGUUUACAGGAGGAGUAAAAAUCAGUCUUUAGGGAAAGAUUGAGUGAUAGUUUAGUCUGAGUAGAACAUGGAAUGUGAAUGUGUAUUGAGGGGGGUGAAUGGGAAAACAGGGAAAAAAACAGGUUAGGAAAUCCUUUCUGAAGGUCUUUGAUCUAAAAGCAAGGAGUUGGUGUUCAGGGGAAGAGGUGUGGAGAGGCAGGGCUAAGGCUAUUGAGGAAUUUGGGAGGUUGGUAAGUAGAGUGAUACAUGGCUACAAAACUUGGAUCAGUUCUAGACAAUAGUAUCCACUUCUUGUCAACUUCCUUAAGUCAUCUACCAGCAGUACUUACCAUGAACUUACUACUAAAUAUCUCCAGAAAGAGACAUCUGAAAUGUAGCCAGUUUGAGGAUACAGAAAUGCUAUUUCAAUUGUCACAACGCUGCUGGAAUGGACAGAGCAGCAAAAGGAUAACAGAAAAUAGCUCUUUGGUCUAAAGGAUUGACUCUUCCUCCUGUUGACAACCAUUUUGUCCUGGAAAAGGAGAAUGGAUGGAAUUAGGUCCUUUUCUCUGAAAGAGUGCCUGUUCAGCCUGAAGAAGAAAUCUAUGUGCUUCGUGGACUGCUGAACUUGGGUGCCUGUCCCAUUUGGACAUCUCGAAAAUGUGGCCAAAAUGUGCUCAUCUUAAGGUGCUGCACUGGGAAAUAAGCAGCGUCAAAAGAACCCUUUGCUUUUUGAUUGACCUUCUUUGCUGGACAGAUUGCUUUUUGUGGUGUUGGCCUAUAUUUUCAAUUUGAUCUACAUGAAGCUUCUGCUCAGAGUCCCCCCUACUUGGAUAAUAACUGCAUAAAUAAUAUAAGUUGAGUGCCCACUGCAUCCAACAGCCUGUCCUAAGUACUUGGGAAGUAUAAAACAAAGAAGUAAUGUGUUCUUUGCCCAUAGGCUCUUCAGUGAGCAAGACCGACAUAGUAUUUACCAAUAGAGUGGUCAGAAUAAAUAACUGAAUGCAACUGAGUAUAUAUUAAAGUGCUGAGGAUUAGGUAUAAUUUCACAAGAGCUAGAGUUAGCUGAUGGGUUUAUUUGUCUUUGGGGGUUGAGAGCUAGUCAGGGAGGACUUAAAGGAGGAGGUGAGAUUUUAGAAAGGCAGCAGCUGUUGACUAAAUGAUUUCCAAGCUGAAGGCACAGGUGAUGGAGGAAAGGGAAGUUGAGGGAGGAGUACGAUUAGGUUCAGUUUGGAAGGAAGAAAGUAAAUGAGCUGAGAAAUAGUGGGUGAAGAGGGCAGAUGGAGAUUGUACUCUCCCAAGUAUUUUGUUCAGUGCUCUAC
Molecule: long non-coding RNA, 1339 nt
Organism: Ornithorhynchus anatinus (platypus)
Lineage: Eukaryota; Metazoa; Chordata; Mammalia; Monotremata; Ornithorhynchidae
Exons: 4
Source: RefSeq, a predicted model, not a curated record